GUUUUUCACAAUUUUUAUCUGAUACCUGGU
This 30-nucleotide non-coding RNA is filed under the name Mus musculus (house mouse). Lineage: Eukaryota; Metazoa; Chordata; Mammalia; Rodentia; Muridae. The record is from RNAcentral.